CUCAGUUUGUGUCACUGAGUCUUUAUGUAAGACUUUAUGUAAGACUUUACUGCUGAAAUAGAUUGUGAAGACUUUAAGCAGAUUCGCAUUUUAGUAAUUCAUUUUCAUAUCUUAGCCUGAGUAAUUUGCAAGGGGAAUACAAUCAAGAAUAACUCUGACCUUUCCUUGACUAACUAAAGGUGAUGGAGCUUCAAGUGCAAUUUUUCCAAUCUGAAUGCAAACAAAUGACAACAGAAGAUGUGAUGGCUGCUUUUGCCCAGUACUUCUGCUCCAAUGAUCUCACAAAAGACAUGUUGCUUUGAAUGGAAAUCCUACCUGAAAUGAUUCACUUCAGCAUGAACUAGGUCCCCAAUGGACCUUGACUAGAGUAAUGGUAGUUCUUCAAGUUACAGUUUAGAUAACAAAUCAAAUUUUAAAGGUAGAGGGCUAACCAGCUACACAUCACAGAGACUCUGCCCAGUCUGUCACCCAAGAAGGGAAACCACAUCCAGAUGUUAUACAGAACAAAGAAGUAAAAUUGAGAAGGGGGAAUGUGGUCAUUUCUGAGCUGGGGACAGCCUAAUUAUAGCUCUAGUGGCUCUCUUACUCAAAUGCCCCUUCCUGGCACAGCCUUUAAGAGAAGAGUCACAAAAUGUAAAGACUUGUUAUGGUAGCAUAUUUAGACCCUGUUAUAGUUUAGAUCUGGGAUGUUCCCCCAAAGUCUCAUUUUAAAGGCUUGGUCUCCAGUGUAGCCACAGGUGUGGCCUCUGGAAAGGUGACCAUGGCCUCUAACCUCAUUGGUGGAUGAAAUGAAUCAAUGGAUUCAUAAUUCAAUGGCAUUAUUGGGAAGUGGUGGAAACUUUGGGUGUGGGGUCAGGUUGGAGGAGGUGGGUCACUGGGGGCAUGACCUGGAAGGGUAUAUCUUAUAUCUUGUACCCAGCCCCUUUACCCUUUCUCUCAAUAACUCCCCCUUGCUGCUGCCGCCCCCCUGCUUCCCACCAGCCAUGACUUGAACAGCUUUCUUUCUCACCCUCAGUCCCAGAAACAAUGAAGCCGGCUAAUGGUCUGCAAUCUCUGAAAUUGUGAGCCAAAAUAAAUCUUUCUUCUGUUAA
Sciurus carolinensis (gray squirrel) is the source of this 1091-nucleotide long non-coding RNA. RefSeq lists it as uncharacterized. The record is from RefSeq and is a predicted model, not a curated record. Lineage: Eukaryota; Metazoa; Chordata; Mammalia; Rodentia; Sciuridae. The transcript is spliced from 2 exons.